GAUGAACGCUGGCGGCGUGCCUAAUACAUGCAAGUCGAGCGAACGGACGAGAAGCUUGCUUUUCUGAUGUUAGCGGCGGACGGGUGAGUAACACGUGGAUAACCUACCUAUAAGACUGGGAUAACUUCGGGAAACCGGAGCUAAUACCGGAUAAUAUUUUGAACCGCAUGGUUCAAAAGUGAAAGACGGUCUUGCUGUCACUUAUAGAUGGAUCCGCGCUGCAUUAGCUAGUUGGUAAGGUAACGGCUUACCAAGGCAACGAUGCAUAGCCGACCUGAGAGGGUGAUCGGCCACACUGGAGCUGAGACCCGGUCCAGACUCCUACGGGAGGCAGCAGUAGGGAAUCUUCCGCAAUGGGCGAAAGCCUGGCGGAGCAACGCCGCGUGAGUGAUGAAGGUCUUCGGAUCGUAAAACUCUGUUAUUAGGGAAGAACAUAUGUGUAAGUAACUGUGCACAUCUUGACGGUACCUAAUCAGAAAGCCACGGCUAACUACGU
This 496-nucleotide ribosomal RNA is filed under the name uncultured bacterium. RNAcentral's name for it is "partial 16S ribosomal RNA". It matches the Rfam family "Bacterial small subunit ribosomal RNA", at positions 28 to 506 of the family's 1533-position model. The record is from RNAcentral.